AUUGGCGGGAUUUCGCCGUCUUCGUUUCUCUUUCUUCGCGGACGAACACGCGCCAGGGCUGAGCGCUGUGCGACGCACCGAUGAUAAGUCGGGUGCGCGCCGGCAUGUCCCUCGUGUUAGGGGCUUGUAGCUCAGUUGGUUAGAGCGCGCGCUUGAUAAGCGUGAGGUCGGAAGUUCAAGUCUUCCCAGGCCCACCAGCCUUCGCUGCUUUGCAGCUUCGGCUCGGCAGGCCCUUCUUGAACGAAGGCUGCUGCGCCGUAGCGCCAGCGAAGGCGAGCGUAAGCAUUCGUCUUCUGGUACGGGGCCAUAGCUCAGCUGGGAGAGCGCGUGCUUUGCAAGCAUGAGGUCGUCGGUUCGAUCCCGUCUGGCUCCACCAGAUGGAAUUGAAGCUCGAGUAUGCCUCGUCAAUAUCGUCCGCGAAACAUCACUUCGCACUCAUUGGUCCGGAUGGACGGUGACGUGCGUGUUUUCUGACAUCGUAAAGAGGAGAUCGGUCCGAGUUUGGAUCUGCGAAGCAAUUCGCGGGUACCAUUCAUAAUCUCCAGAUCGUUUUCGGCGCUCGCGCAUCGCCGCUCAUCGCAAGAUGAGUGAGAUGAGCGAGUUGUAAAACGAUCUUUUUAGCGAAGCUUGACCGCCUCGCUAUCGGGCCGAUCUUACGAAGCAAGCUGGUCUUUCUAGUCAAUGUCCGGCUGCGCGAUCGCAUUCAUCGAGGAUGCGCGCCUUCAGUGGCAAUUGUGCAGACAACAUUCUGCCGAGUGUGUGGACAUUGAUAAUGAGAGCAAUCAAGUGCCUUAAGGGUGUUCGGUGGAUGCCUUGGCGCUGAGAGGCGAUGAAGGACGUGCUACGCUGCGAUAAGCC
RNAcentral lists this unclassified non-coding RNA (858 nucleotides) under Bradyrhizobium elkanii. RNAcentral's name for it is "partial contains 16S-23S ribosomal RNA intergenic spacer and 23S ribosomal RNA". The stretch from base 121 to 194 matches the Rfam family "tRNA". Lineage: Bacteria; Pseudomonadati; Pseudomonadota; Alphaproteobacteria; Hyphomicrobiales; Nitrobacteraceae. The record is from RNAcentral.